Molecule: long non-coding RNA, 393 nt
Organism: Oncorhynchus tshawytscha (Chinook salmon)
Lineage: Eukaryota; Metazoa; Chordata; Actinopteri; Salmoniformes; Salmonidae
Source: Ensembl
AGAGUAGUAACAGUAGAGUAGUAACAGUAGAGAGUAGUAACAGUAGAGUAGUAACAGUAGAGAGUAGUAACAGUAGAGUAGUAACAGUAGAGAAGGAGAGUAGUAACAGUAGAGAAGGAGAGUAGUAACAGUAGAGUAGUAACAGUAGAGUAUAGUAACAGUUGAGUAGUAACAGUAGAGAGUAGUAACAGUAGAGAAGGAGAGUAGUAACAGUAGAGAAGGAGAGUAGUAACAGUAGAGAGUAGUAACAGUAAGAAGAGUAGUAGUAACAGUAGAGAGUAGUAACAGUAGAGUUGGAGAGUAGUAACAGUAGAGUAGUAACAUAGUAACAGUAGAGAGUAGUAACAGUAGAGAAGGAGAGUAGUAACAGUAGAGAGUAGUAACAGUAGAGAG